Molecule: ribosomal RNA, 1244 nt
Filed under: human gut metagenome
Description: bacterial LSU rRNA
Rfam family: Bacterial large subunit ribosomal RNA
Source: RNAcentral
AGGUUCGUCCGCUGAGGGUUAGUCGGGACCUAAGCCGAGGCCGAAAGGCGUAGGCGAUGGACAAUCGGUUGAUAUUCCGAUACCACUACUGAUCGUUAUUAUCGAUGGUGUGACGGAGAAGGAUAGAGUGUGCUAGCUAUUGGAUGCUAGUCUAAGCGUUUAGGGAGUUAGGAAAGGCAAAUCCGUCCUAACAAUUCUGAGGCGUGAUGGGGAAGGUUCUACGGAACCGAAGUACUUGAUUCCAUGCUUCCAAGAAAAGCAUCUAGAGAGAGAUGUAGUGCCCGUACCGCAAACCGACACAGGUAGAUGAGGAGAGAAUCCUAAGGCCGGCGGAAGAAUCACAGUUAAGGAACUAGGCAAAUUGACCCCGUAACUUAGGGAGAAGGGGUGCCUGUGAGAGCAGGCCGCAGAGAAUAGGCCCAAGCAACUGUUUAGCAAAAACACAGGUCUCUGCUAAAGCGAAAGCUGAUGUAUAGGGGCUGACGCCUGCCCGGUGCUGGAAGGUUAAGGGGAACACUUAGCGCAAGCGAAGGUGUGAACUUAAGCCCCAGUAAACGGCGGCCGUAACUAUAACGGUCCUAAGGUAGCGAAAUUCCUUGUCAGGUAAGUUCUGACCCGCACGAAUGGCGUAAUGACUUGGGCACUGUCUCAACUGUGAAUCCGGCGAAGUUGUAGUGCGAGUGAAGAUGCUCGCUACCCGCGAUUGGACGGAAAGACCCCGUAGAGCUUUACUGUAGCUUAGCAUUGAAUUUCGGUAUUGUCUGUACAGGAUAGGUGGGAGACUGGGAAAUCAGGGCGUCAGCCUUGAUGGAGUCGUCCUUGGGAUACCACCCUGACAGUACUGAGGUUCUAACUGGAUGCCAUGAAUCUGGUGACAGGACAUUGUUAGGUGGGCAGUUUGACUGGGGCGGUCGCCUCCUAAAAAGUAACGGAGGCGCCCAAAGGUUCCCUCAGAACGGUCGGAAAUCGUUCGAAGAGUGCAAAGGCAGAAGGGAGCCUGACUGCGACACCCACAAGUGGAGCAGGGACGAAAGUCGGGCUUAGUGAUCCGGUGGUACCUCGUGGGAGGGCCAUCGCUCAACGGAUAAAAGCUACCUCGGGGAUAACAGGCUGAUCUCCCCCAAGAGUCCACAUCGACGGGGAGGUUUGGCACCUCGAUGUCGGCUCGUCGCAUCCUGGGGCUGAAGUAGGUCCCAAGGGUUGGGCUGUUCGCCCAUUAAAGCGGCACGCGAGCUGGGUUCAGA